Molecule: ribosomal RNA, 206 nt
Filed under: uncultured bacterium
Lineage: Bacteria
Description: partial 16S ribosomal RNA
Rfam family: Bacterial small subunit ribosomal RNA
Source: RNAcentral
GGAUUGCAGUCUGCAACUCGAGUGCAUGAAGCUGGAAUCGCUAGUAAUCGCGGAUCAGAAUGCCGCGGUGAAUACGUUCCCGGGUCUUGUACACACCGCCCGUCACACCAUGGGAGUCGGGAAUGCCCGAAGCCGGUGGCCCGAUCGAAAGAAGGGAGCCGUCGAAGGCAGGCCGGAUGACUGGGGUGAAGUCGUAACAAGGUACC